RNAcentral lists this small RNA (16 nucleotides) under Arabidopsis thaliana (thale cress). RNAcentral describes it as "ATSL303190". The record is from RNAcentral. Lineage: Eukaryota; Viridiplantae; Streptophyta; Magnoliopsida; Brassicales; Brassicaceae.
CUUUUUUUCUCACUAU